The submitters of this non-coding RNA (50 nucleotides) gave its source as unclassified sequences. The record is from Rfam.
GGACCGCCCUUUUGGGCUAAGGCCAUACGGACAGCCGGGUCCACUGCCGA